Molecule: unclassified non-coding RNA, 294 nt
Filed under: Hevea brasiliensis (rubber tree)
Lineage: Eukaryota; Viridiplantae; Streptophyta; Magnoliopsida; Malpighiales; Euphorbiaceae
Source: RNAcentral
UUUUUUUUUUUUAAUUAAUUAUUUAAUUUAUAUAGGCAUUGUUAAUUUGUUGGUAAUUAAUUUUCUUUUUACUUGUUUUCUUGCUAAUUAGUUGUUAGUUUAAUUAGUUUUACUUUCUUUUCUUAUUUUGUUAAUUAGUUGUUUAUUUUAUACGGGCAUAAUUUGAUUACUUUACUUUUUAUUCUUGUUAAUUUUUUCACUCUUAUUUUACAUAUAGAUAUAGUGUAAAUAAUGUUUUUUCUUUUUAAUAUGCCUUUUUACUUAUCAACUAUUCACACACACACACACACACAA